UGUAAGUUCUGCACAACUAAACCCACCACCAACAAGAAUAAGAACAUUCUGGUCCUAACCUGAUUCGUAAUGGAAAACGAGACUCGAAGGAUUUUAAAGUUGCGAGGAUCGGGGAAAAUGCAACUCUUCCCUGUUUGGCACUGCAAGGAAUCGCUGUUGAAAACCAGAUUGUCAUCUGAAGCACACUGGAAGAGUCGCAACUCUGUCGUUCUCAAAAUGGUAUUUCUGAAUGCAAAGGGGACGUGAAAGUAAAGAUGGUAAACCUGACCCUUGUAAUUCCAAACGUUUCGUUCUCCGAUGAGAAGUUGUAUUCUUGUACAUUAAGAGGAGGAGGCAAUAAGGUUGUAAAGGACAUCAAGCUAUUUGUAGAAAACUCAACGACCCCUCCACCUGACAGUGCAAGCACCCCGACCAGCUCCCUGACUUUAGGAAAAAUAGCAAACUUGUGUCUUAAGAAAGAGCCCCUUGGUUCCUGGCAGGAGUACUGAACUGAAGAUGACCAGGGCUAGGAGGAGGGCAGCUGGACUGGGUGAGGCUGAAAGGACAGUGAAGAGACUGCGACACUGCAAACUCAAGUGGUUUGGUGUAAGGAAGACAAAGUACAGAUGUCAACAAGACCCAACUGCAACAAGCAGCUGCUGGGCGAAAGGAAGCAGACAGAGGACAAAUCUCCAAAACGGAAUCAAGACGGGACUCUGCUGAAAAAGAAGACCCAAGACGAUGAAGCAAGCUGCAUGCGAGUAAACUACCACAAGCAACGAGACUCAGGACUGCUGCUUACAGAGACUUAUCAGACAAACCAGAAUGGGUCUGCUGUACACCUAAAACCACAGCAUCCAAAAGAAACUGCCCUGCUACCUGCAUAGGUAAAAGAUUCAACGAAGAGGACAGAGCGGACGGCCGCACUUGUGGGUACUAUACCGUGGACUGAAGACUUUGUUGCAGCUGUUUGUUGAUUCUAUCGAGAAUUGAAAGCUUUGUUGCCGAGUUUGAUACAAUGUAGGACGAAGACUUUGUUGCAGAAAGGAGAGUUUUUGUACUGGACACUUCAACAGAUUGAGUUUCCAAGCCAGCAGACCAAAA
Long non-coding RNA from Polyodon spathula (Mississippi paddlefish), 1083 nucleotides. RefSeq lists it as uncharacterized. The transcript has 4 exons. The record is from RefSeq and is a predicted model, not a curated record. Lineage: Eukaryota; Metazoa; Chordata; Actinopteri; Acipenseriformes; Polyodontidae.